This 75-nucleotide transfer RNA is filed under the name Opitutia bacterium AMD-G3. Its description in RNAcentral is "Opitutae bacterium AMD-G3 tRNA-Arg". It matches the Rfam family "tRNA". From Rfam's summary of the family: Transfer RNA (tRNA) molecules are approximately 80 nucleotides in length. Their secondary structure includes four short double-helical elements and three loops (D, anti-codon, and T loops). The record is from RNAcentral. Lineage: Bacteria; Pseudomonadati; Verrucomicrobiota; Opitutia. RNAcentral also lists the same sequence under 1 other name.
GUUCCCGUAGUUCAACGGAUAGAACAUUGGUUUCCUAAACCGAGGAUGUGGGUUCGAUUCCCGCCGGGGACAGCA